GUGCUCUCACUUCAGCAACACAUAUACUAAAAUUGGAACAAUACAGAGAAGAUUAUCAUGGCCCCUGUGCAAGGAUGACAGGCAAAUUCAUGAAACAUUCCAUAUUUUU
Non-coding RNA from Pteropus alecto (black flying fox), 109 nucleotides. NCBI's taxonomy places the organism in Eukaryota, Metazoa, Chordata, Mammalia, Chiroptera, Pteropodidae. The record is from Rfam.